GUGACCCGGGCAGUGUUUUGACAGGGCAAACAGCAGAGAAAGAACUGGGCGAGCUAGGGGGACCGGGAGCUGGGGCGCCAGAGCUAGAGACAGCGGGCGGGCGAGGAGCUGGCAGAGGCGCGGGGCAAGCGGGGCGGUGGGCGGGCGGAGCCCGGGGGCCGCGGGGCUCGGGUGCGAGUCGGGCAGGGCCAAGGGCUGAGCUCAGGCAGCGGAGCGAGGCGGGGGUGGAUGGCCACAGGGGCGCCGGGGAGCCGCGUCAGGCUUGUCGCGUCGGGCCCCCAUGGUCCCCUAACGCCGCCCCUGCGGCCGCUGCGCGCCACACUCCGCUCUCGCCGGCCCUGCGCCUCUCGGAGCCUCGGGUCUGAGGUGGGAGUGUGAUGUGAGCAGCUGGGCGAGCGGCGGAGAGCAGUGCCAAGAGGAGGAGGGAUCGGGAGCGGAGAGGAGAGCGAGUUAGUCAGCAGAGGUCGGCCGAGGGAGCCAUGAAAACAACUCUCCGGAGGGGAGAGGGGCCGGCGCGGCGCUCCGAGCGGCGGCGCUGAAGGAAAUCCGGGGCCGCGCGGGACGGAAGGGGCCCUCCGCGGGCGGGCUGCGCAGGGCACGGGCGAGCCCCCAGCGGCAAACACCUUCCCGGGGCCAGCCUCGGGCCGGGCCCGCAGGACUCGGAGUUGGUAGGGUCGGCCCGGGACAGCCUAGGAGAGUUCGUUUGGGGGCUGGGGGCUGGGCACUAGGAGGUGACUCGGGUUUCUGUGUAAACUUGGCGGCGGCUGCCGCAGGAAGACUAGCUAGAGGCUAAUUACACAGGUGAGGCCCAGCGGGGCGGGCGGAGUUCUUGGGAGCUGGAAGAGUUUCCUGCGCCCAGGCACCAGGUGGAAGAAAUAUUUCCAUACCAGCCGUCGCGGAGGUGCCACUGUUCCCAGAGGCGUUUUUUUAUUUACGAAGGGCAUUUUGAAAACUAAGAAGCAGACGUAGAAUCAGCGGCGAGCCUGUUGAAGGAACCCACACGUGUAUUUUGCAGCACUCUGGGUAGAAAUUGGAUGUGAAAAUGAAGCCAGACCGAGUUGCCUAAACACAGCUGAGUUCAUAAGAGGAGCAAAGAAAACAAAACAGUGCUGCCAAGUAGACAGGAAGCUGUAGUGGACCUAUCGAGCAGGGGAGGUUGAGCACACCCUCCAUCCAAUCAGCUGUGAGUGCUGUUGCUAUGUGCGCUCUUACUCUGCUGCCUUUGUGAAAACCUUACACAGAGGGAAGUGGAAUCAGCACCAACGCUGAACAUUUGUUUUAACCGCUGCAGACAUCUGGAUCCCUCAGUUUCUGACAGUAUAGCUGUUGACAGCCAGAAGGCAACUUCUUUUAUACAAGGAUUCCAGUAUGGUUUUCAGUGGAAACAAAGGGCUUCACAGAGAAGGUGUGUAAUGAAGUGUUUUUAACGGCUUUAUUUUUAAGCUUCCAAUUUUCUGUAGCUGUUUACCAGUUGUGAUGCUUGCUUUGCAUGGAUUUUUAAUAAAUAGUCUAGAAAAAUGAUCUCACUUUUAAAAGCAUUGAACUUAGAGAAUUUUCUUUAGCUUCAUAUAGCCUGUUUUCUUUGAAUAACAUUGCUUAAAAGAUUAUUAAAAUGCUGGUCUGAACAAUGAGUAGGAAGAAAAGAAACCAAAUACAAUGUGCUCAAUUUAAUGGGGAAAAAUAUGACAGAAAUAAGAAUACAGAGAAGAGAAUGUGAGUUAGCCAGAAACAUUAAAUGUAUAUGGGGGCAGGAGGUAUUUUUUAAAUAAAAGCUGUUAAGGAGAAUGUAUUUAAAAUAAGUUACUUAUUUCUAAUUGAAUUCAUUUUUUCUUAAUUUGACAAAGAUUAUCAGAAUUUAGCUAAGUGAGAUUUUUGGCAUAGUUUAAGGAAUUGAUGUGCUUUUUUAUAAAGCAUUUCUGAAGAUGCUACCUCAAAUUGUGCAGUCUCUUAAUUAUUUGAUCUGUUGACUAGUUCUGUGCAGUUCAGAUAAAGGAUGGUAAGAUAAUUCAACAGCAAAUUUAGUGUAGUGUGUAAUAAAUAUCCAUAUAGAAAAUUGGAGAAUAAACAUUGAAGGCAACAUACCACAAAGAGUUAAGGUAGUAUUUUAAAAUUAAAAGUAGGCCCCCUAAAUGUAAUAAUUCCAUAUCUGACUUAGUUAAUACUGCAAAUAUAGUAAAAUCUUAUUAACUUAAACUACACUAACUUAAUAUUUGUGAUAAUUGAACAGAAUAUAGGUUACCGUUUGUUUAUGUAGGAUCUGGAAGAACUGGUCUGUCCAACAGAUUAUAGUGAAGUUUUAAAGUAUUUUAGAUAAGCAAAAGGUUUUUUUUAGCAUUUUUCUCAAAUGCUGUGAAAUUAAUUAACAUAUUUGAUUUAGCUAAUGAUUAUUUUAAUUAAAACAGCAGACUAAUUAGUAUAUAGCCCAUUUUAUGAACAGUCCAUGUUGAGCUAAUAACCAGUUUUGCUUUUUCAGUUUCACAUGGUUGUCUCAUGGCUUGUUUUAAUUGACUUGGUGAUUGAUGUCUGAUGAAUAAAGUUAGUGUAAGUUCAGAGUUAACAUUAGAGCUUUAUUUGUUAUCCCUACAUAUAAUAUAUUUUGGAAUAGGAUAGGUUUUGUUGUUUUUUUUUGAAAAAGUACCUGUCAUUAGAAAAUCUUAGCAAUCAAUGUCAGCAUUUUUUGGUGAGGAAAGAAUAUGUAGAUAUUUCUUUUCCUUGAAAAGAACUCAAAAUAUAUCCCAUGCUUUUGAGCCUUUUACUGGUCCUUUUUAACAAUAUUACAUAUAUGAUACCUGCAUUAAGUUUAAAAGAUUUCAAAGAGUAGGUACAAAUUUACAAAAUAAAUUAUCCUUAAACACCAUAAAAGUGUUUUAUGUGGACCUAUAUGUUGCUGAACUUUAAGACUCUGACAUUUCUUAGUUUUUCCAGUUUGUUAGGUGUAGCCAAAAACUUGAACUUGAUAGAAGUUAUCAUAAAACUUACCGCAAAAUAAAGUUAUAGUCUUUGGACUUGGUGGCCUCCACAAUGUAAAGCACUCAUUUCCGGGAGAGAAGCUGUAUGUAUUAGGAGUAGAGACAUGAGAGGGUGUUAGGAGUGGAAGGCAGAGAUAUGCAGAGGGCAUCCAAAUUCAUUAAAUAUGCCUUUUUUUUUUUUUUUUUGAGACAGAGUCUCACACUCUUGCCUGGGCUAGAGUGCCGUGGC
This is a non-coding RNA of Microcebus murinus (gray mouse lemur), 3198 nucleotides long. The record is from RefSeq and is a predicted model, not a curated record. Lineage: Eukaryota; Metazoa; Chordata; Mammalia; Primates; Cheirogaleidae.